CCUACGGGGUGCAGCAGUGGGGAAUAUUGCACAAUGGGGGAAACCCUGAUGCAGCGACGCCGCGUGAGUGAAGAAGUAACUCGUUAUGUAAAGCUCCAUUAGCAGGGAAGAAAAUGACGGUACCUGAGUAAGAAGCCCCGGCUAACUACGUGCCAGCAGCCGCGGUAAUACGUAGGGGGCAAGCGUUAUCCGGAUUUACUGGGGGUAAAGGGAGCGUAGACGGCAGUGCAAGUCUGGAGUGAAAGGCGGGGGCUCAACCCCCGGACUGCUCUGGAAACUGUACGGCUGGAGUGCAGGAGAGGUAAGUGGAAUGCGUGGUGUAGCGGUGAAAUGCAUAGAUAUUAGGAGGAACACCAGUGGCGAAGGCAGCUUACUGGACUGUAACUGACGUUGAGGCUCGAAAGCGUGGGGAGCGAACAGGAUUAGAUACCCUGGUAGUC
This 440-nucleotide ribosomal RNA is filed under the name uncultured bacterium. Its description in RNAcentral is "partial 16S ribosomal RNA". It matches the Rfam family "Bacterial small subunit ribosomal RNA", at positions 338 to 795 of the family's 1533-position model. The record is from RNAcentral.